CCCUUAGAUGUUCUGGGCUGCACGCGCGCUACACUGAAGCGUUCAACGAGUAUUUCACCUUGCCCGGGAGGGUUGGGUAAUCUUUUUAAAACGCUUCGUGAUGGGGAUAGAUUAUUGCAAUUAUUAAUCUUCAACGAGGAAUUCCUAGUAAGCGUGAGUCAUCAGCUCGCGUUGAUUACGUCCCUGCCCUUUGUACACACCGCCCGUCGCUACUACCGAUUGAAUGGCUUAGUGAGCCUUUGGGAUUGGCAGCCAACACCGGCAACGGUAGCUGGCCGCCGAAAACUUAUGCAAACUUGGUCAUUUAGAGGAAGUAAAAGUCGUAACA
This 328-nucleotide ribosomal RNA is filed under the name uncultured eukaryote. RNAcentral describes it as "partial 18S ribosomal RNA". It matches the Rfam family "Eukaryotic small subunit ribosomal RNA", at positions 1470 to 1796 of the family's 1831-position model. The record is from RNAcentral.